GUGAUCGUAGCCGAGUGGUUCAGGCGCAGGGUUGUGGCCCCUGCUACGGUGGGUUCGAGCCCCCCCGAUCACCCCA
Molecule: transfer RNA, 76 nt
Filed under: Archaeoglobales archaeon
Lineage: Archaea; Methanobacteriati; Methanobacteriota; Archaeoglobi; Archaeoglobales
Also listed under: 1 other name
Description: tRNA-His
Rfam family: tRNA
About the family: Transfer RNA (tRNA) molecules are approximately 80 nucleotides in length.
Source: RNAcentral